ACCGUGCGAAGGUAGCGUAAUCACUUGUUCUUUAAAUGAGGACUAGUAUGAACGGCAUCACGAGGGUUAUGCUGUCUCCUUUUUCUAAUCAAUGAAACUGAUCUCCCCGUGAAGAAGCGGGCAUAUUAAUAUAAGACGAGAAGACCCUAUGGAGCUUUAAACUAUUAUAGCACUGGCCCGUCCACUCCAUGUUUCAGAACUACAGCACUCACAUAGCCUUAAUGACUAUUAGUUUUAGGUUGGGGUGACCGCGGAGCAAAAAUUAACCUCCACAUUGAAAAGAACCUUUCUUGAGCCCAAAGCCACGACUUCAAGCACCAACAAACUGACAUACAUUGACCCAAGAAAUUGAGCAACGAACCAAGU
RNAcentral lists this ribosomal RNA (366 nucleotides) under Dendropsophus parviceps group sp. ABGD cluster 65. Its description in RNAcentral is "partial large subunit ribosomal RNA". It matches the Rfam family "Bacterial large subunit ribosomal RNA", at positions 1945 to 2443 of the family's 2925-position model. Lineage: Eukaryota; Metazoa; Chordata; Amphibia; Anura; Hylidae. The record is from RNAcentral.